RNAcentral lists this long non-coding RNA (784 nucleotides) under Oryctolagus cuniculus (rabbit). RNAcentral's name for it is "lncRNA (ENSOCUG00000033161.1)". The record is from RNAcentral. Lineage: Eukaryota; Metazoa; Chordata; Mammalia; Lagomorpha; Leporidae.
AUGGGUGUGUGUGUGUGUGUGUGUGUGUGUGUGGAGAGAGAGAGAGAGAGAGAGAGAGAGAGAGAGAGAGAGAGAGAGAUCCAGAGCGCCCGAGCGAACAAGCGAGCGCUGGAGCCCUGGCUGGUGAAGCACCUCUCACCUCCCCCAGUCCGUGGCCAAAGCUUCUCUCAUUCUCAGCGCUGGCGGCUGGGGCGGGCGGGGCGGGGCGGGGGAGGCGCGGAGUGGGAGGGAAAGAGGGAGGACGGGGCAGCCUGCAGGGGCAGCAGCUCCUGCCUUCUCUGCAGCUCAGCGGUCAGGGGUGGAAGGAAGCCGCAGUCUCAGCCCCAAGUCAGCCCCCGCUGCCCCGUCCCACCGUCUCAUCACUCCCCCCUCGGUCAUUUGCGUUUGCGAAUCAGCUUGUCAAAUUUUAGAAUUGGCUUUGUCGAGGCCAGCACUGGGGCAUAGCAGGUAAAGCCACUGCCAACAGUUCCGGCAUCCCAUAUGGGCACUGGUUCAAGUCCUGGCGCUCCACUUCCAAUCCAGCUCUCUGUUAUGUCCCGAGAAAGCAGUGGAAGAUGACCCAAGUCCUUAGGCCCCUUCACCUGUGUGGGACGCCCAGAAGAAGCUCAUGGCUCCUGGCUUUGGAUCAGUGCAGCUUUCGGAUUGAUGCAUCUCUGGCCAUUGCGACCAUCUGGGGAGUGAACCAGUGGAUGGAAGACCUCUCUCUCUCUCUCUCUCUGCUUCUGCCUCUUUGUAGCUCUGCCUUUCAAAUAAAUAAAUCUUAAAAAAAAUUGGUUUUGUCUAC